Aedes aegypti (yellow fever mosquito) is the source of this 66-nucleotide non-coding RNA. The record is from Rfam. Lineage: Eukaryota; Metazoa; Arthropoda; Insecta; Diptera; Culicidae.
UGCCCAGCAACUCCUAUCCCUACCUCUUCGCGGUACUGGCCGGGGUACGAGUAACCUUAGGGAAGA